RNAcentral lists this long non-coding RNA (292 nucleotides) under Phaseolus vulgaris (common bean). RNAcentral's name for it is "long non-coding RNA (PVUL_LNC004470)". Lineage: Eukaryota; Viridiplantae; Streptophyta; Magnoliopsida; Fabales; Fabaceae. The record is from RNAcentral.
UUUUUAAUGCUUUGACCAAUCUUUAAAUGCAAUUAAUAGUUUGUUAAGAUUUGAUAACAAACAACAUCUUUCAUAUAUUCAGAAAAACAGAUUUGAGUUUUAACAAUGCAGAUUUUGAGAUUUUGAAAAGUUGAGAUUGCUUAGAGAUUGAGUUUGAUCAAAGUGUGUGAGAUAGGAUUUCUGCUUGUAUUGAUUUCAGAUUUGCUUAUGUAACAAGUGUAAUCCUUGUAUCUGUUAAACAAGAAUCUUUGUGUGGUUGCUGAGAAGUGUUGUGUGUUCUUGAGGGGAUCAA